GAGCCCGUGGUCCAGUGGUUUAGGACUUCAGACUUUGAAUCUGACAACCCCGGUUCGAAUCCGGGCGGGCUCA
This is a non-coding RNA of Tribonema minus, 73 nucleotides long. Lineage: Eukaryota; Xanthophyceae; Tribonematales; Tribonemataceae. The record is from the annotation of a GenBank genome assembly.